RNAcentral lists this ribosomal RNA (370 nucleotides) under uncultured bacterium. RNAcentral describes it as "bacterial SSU rRNA". It matches the Rfam family "Bacterial small subunit ribosomal RNA", at positions 527 to 896 of the family's 1533-position model. The record is from RNAcentral.
GUAGGCGGUAAGCGUUGUCCGGAAUUAUUGGGCGUAAAGGGAGCGCAGGCGGGAAACUAAGCGGAUCUUAAAAGUGCGGGGCUCAACCCCGUGAUGGGGUCCGAACUGGUUUUCUUGAGUGCAGGAGAGGAAAGCGGAAUUCCCAGUGUAGCGGUGAAAUGCGUAGAUAUUGGGAAGAACACCAGUGGCGAAGGCGGCUUUCUGGACUGUAACUGACGCUGAGGCUCGAAAGCUAGGGUAGCGAACGGGAUUAGAUACCCCGGUAGUCCUAGCCGUAAACGAUGGAUACUAGGUGUGGGAGGUAUCGACCCCUUCCGUGCCGGAGUUAACGCAAUAAGUAUCCCGCCUGGGGAGUACGGCCGCAAGGUUG